Molecule: long non-coding RNA, 550 nt
Organism: Eucalyptus grandis
Lineage: Eukaryota; Viridiplantae; Streptophyta; Magnoliopsida; Myrtales; Myrtaceae
Exons: 5
Source: RefSeq, a predicted model, not a curated record
CGAUGGGAAGGUAAAUAUAUGAAAUCAAACUCCAUCGCAGCUUAUAUGCGUCAGCAAUCUAUUUUUGUUUCGUGGUUUCUAUAGCUAGUUUUGUCAUGCAGAUAUAUGUCAAAAUUGAGAGAGCACGGUUGAUCAAGAAACUUGAAAAAAUAAAGGAAGAUCAGGAUCUUAUAGCAGAAGCUACUGAUUUGAUGCAAGAAAUCAGGGUUUUUUUGUGCUUAGAUCGCCAGGAUUAUGUCUAUGCACAUAUUCUUUCCAGGAAAAUCAGCCCCCAAGUGUGAUGCAUAUCCUUCCAAAGAGAAGAAAAAGCCUAAAGAAGCAAUGUAGGUAUAGGUAUUACUCACACAACAACGAUUACCUUGAGAUAAGUUGAAUAUAUAAGGCGAUAGAUGAGAUUCCAUCAGUGAAGGGAACCCAAAGCAGCAGAUGCUGAUGAAGGGAAACCCAGAGUUCUAAGGGAAAUCUGGUGGUGCUUAAUUCCCGAUUCAGAUACACCUUUAAUUUGCUUUAGGUUGCUGCUGAAACAAUUGGUCAAGUUGGAGAUUAUCCA